RNAcentral lists this ribosomal RNA (390 nucleotides) under uncultured eukaryote. RNAcentral's name for it is "bacterial SSU rRNA". It matches the Rfam family "Bacterial small subunit ribosomal RNA", at positions 618 to 1009 of the family's 1533-position model. The record is from RNAcentral.
AAAUUGCCAUUGAAACUGUUGUUCUUGAGUUCGGUUGAGGUAGGCGGAAUGAGUAAUGUAGCGGUGAAAUGCUUAGAUAUUACUCAGAACACCGAUUGCGUAGGCAGCUUACCAAGCCGACACUGACGCUGAGGCACGAAAGCGUGGGGAUCCAACAGGAUUAGAUACCCUGGUAGUCCACGCCGUAAACGUUGAUUACUCGUUGUUGGCAAUACAUCGUCAGCGACUGAGCGAAAGCAUUAAGUAAUCCACCUGGGGAGUACGUCAGCAAUGAUGAAACUCAAAGGAAUUGACGGGGGCCCGCACAAGCGGAGGAACAUGUGGUUUAAUUCGAUGAUACGCGAGGAACCUUACCUGGGCUUAAAUGCAUAUAGACGUACUGUGAAAGCA